This 1354-nucleotide ribosomal RNA is filed under the name uncultured bacterium. RNAcentral describes it as "bacterial SSU rRNA". It matches the Rfam family "Bacterial small subunit ribosomal RNA", at positions 28 to 1381 of the family's 1533-position model. The record is from RNAcentral.
AUUGAACGCUGGCGGCAGGCUUAACACAUGCAAGUCGAACGAUGAUUAUCUAGCUUGCUAGAUAUGAUUAGUGGCGGACGGGUGAGUAACAUUUAGGAAUCUGCCUAGUAGUGGGGGAUAGCUCGGGGAAACUCGAAUUAAUACCGCAUACGACCUACGGGUGAAAGGGGGCGCAAGCUCUUGCUAUUAGAUGAGCCUAAAUCAGAUUAGCUAGUUGGUGGGGUAAAGGCCCACCAAGGCGACGAUCUGUAACUGGUCUGAGAGGAUGAUCAGUCACACCGGAACUGAGACACGGUCCGGACUCCUACGGGAGGCAGCAGUGGGGAAUAUUGGACAAUGGGGGCAACCCUGAUCCAGCCAUGCCGCGUGUGUGAAGAAGGCCUUUUGGUUGUAAAGCACUUUAAGCAGGGAGGAGAGGCUAAUGGUUAAUACCCAUUAGAUUAGACAUUACCUGCAGAAUAAGCACCGGCUAACUCUGUGCCAGCAGCCGCGGUAAUACAGAGGGUGCGAGCGUUAAUCGGAAUUACUGGGCGUAAAGCGAGUGUAGGUGGCUCAUUAAGUCACAUGUGAAAUCCCCGGGCUUACCUGGGAACUGCAUGUGAUACUGGUGGUGCUAGAAUAUGUGAGAGGGAAGUAGAAUUCCAGGUGUAGCGGUGAAAUGCGUAGAGAUCUGGAGGAAUACCGAUGGCGAAGGCAGCUUCCUGGCAUAAUAUUGACACUGAGAUUCGAAAGCGUGGGUAGCAAACAGGAUUAGAUACCCUGGUAGUCCACGCCGUAAACGAUGUCUACUAGCCGUUGGGGUCCUUGAGACUUUAGUGGCGCAGUUAACGCGAUAAGUAGACCGCCUGGGGAGUACGGCCGCAAGGUUAAAACUCAAAUGAAUUGACGGGGGCCCGCACAAGCGGUGGAGCAUGUGGUUUAAUUCGAUGCAACGCGAAGAACCUUACCUGGUCUUGACAUAGUGAGAAUCCUGCAGAGAUGCGGGAGUGCCUUCGGGAAUUCACAUACAGGUGCUGCAUGGCUGUCGUCAGCUCGUGUCGUGAGAUGUUGGGUUAAGUCCCGCAACGAGCGCAACCCUUUUCCUUAUUUGCCAGCGGGUUAAGCCGGGAACUUUAAGGAUACUGCCAGUGACAAACUGGAGGAAGGCGGGGACGACGUCAAGUCAUCAUGGCCCUUACGACCAGGGCUACACACGUGCUACAAUGGUAGGUACAGAGGGUUGCUACACAGCGAUGUGAUGCUAAUCUCAAAAAGCCUAUCGUAGUCCGGAUUGGAGUCUGCAACUCGACUCCAUGAAGUCGGAAUCGCUAGUAAUCGCAGAUCAGAAUGCUGCGGUGAAUACGUUCCCGGGCCU